UCAUAGUGAUCCGGUGGUUCUGAAUGGAAGGGCCAUCGCUCAACGGAUAAAAGGUACUCCGGGGAUAACAGGCUGAUACCGCCCAAGAGUUCAUAUCGACGGCGGUGUUUGGCACCUCGAUGUCGGCUCAUCACAUCCUGGGGCUGAAGUAGGUCCCAAGGGUAUGGCUGUUCGCCAUUUAAAGUGGUACGCGAGCUGGGUUUAGAACGUCGUGAGACAGUUCGGUCCCUAUCUGCCGUGGGCGCUGGAGAACUGAGGGGGGCUGCUCCUAGUACGAGAGGACCGGAGUGGACGCAUCACUGGUGUUCGGGUUGUCAUGCCAAUGGCACUGCCCGGUAGCUAAAUGCGGAAGAGAUAAGUGCUGAAAGCAUCUAAGCACGAAACUUGCCCCGAGAUGAGUUCUCCCUGACCCUUUAAGGGUCCUGAAGGAACGUUGAAGACGACGACGUUGAUAGGCCGGGUGUGUAAGCGCAGCGAUGCGUUGAGCUAACCGGUACUAAUGAACCGUGAGGCUUAACCUUACAACGCCGAAG
Molecule: ribosomal RNA, 533 nt
Filed under: Shigella flexneri
Lineage: Bacteria; Pseudomonadati; Pseudomonadota; Gammaproteobacteria; Enterobacterales; Enterobacteriaceae
Description: partial 23S ribosomal RNA
Rfam family: Bacterial large subunit ribosomal RNA
Source: RNAcentral